UCUAAAAAGGACAGAACAGGGGCCAAAAAGUGGAUUGCCCACCAAACCUCCUUCUCAAGGGUGUUUAUUGAGCAAAGCCACAAAGGGAGGCAGGUUUAAGGCAGAAUUAUAAUCAAUCAGUAAGAUUAAAAGUACAGUUGCUGGGGCUGGGGAUUUAGCUCAGUGGCAUAAGCACCUGCCUUGCAAGCAGGCAGUCGUGAGUUUGAUCCCUGGUACCCAUAAAAAAAAAAAAAAGUACAGUUGCUUAGGUCAUAUUGAUCCAGUGAGAAAUCAUAGGUAAAUAUGAGGUAGGACAAGAUUACAGUGAUACAAAACAGGUCCCCUUAGAGAAGCAUCAUAACCUUAUAACCCUCACAUGUGUCUUGGUUACUUUUUUCUUGUUGCUAGGACAAAAUACCUGACAACCAAAAUUAAGGAAGGAAAGGUUUAUUUAGCUUACAGUUUGUGGAGGUUUCAGUCUGUAAUCAGCUGGCUCCAAGGCAGGGUGGCCUAGCUGAGGGGCAACACUUCAAGGCAGAAGAAAACAGCAGAAGCAACAAGAACCAAAGGGGAAAGCCUGCACUGCUCCAGCUGGUAGCAGACCUUGGCAUCAUCCACAUGGUGCUGGUUUUAGGUGCAUUCAGAAUGCAAGAGUUAUGGGGUUAAAAGAGCUUCCAUCCAAUUUCAGAGGGCCUGGGAGGCCAGGCACUUUGCCCAGAGAGGACAGUGUGUGAAACUGUGAGGGUGAAGCCAAAGGUGCAGUGGAGACCCCAGAAGUUUGGAAAAGCCAGGAAUAUGGAUUGUCUUAAGAAACUUACAAGGAGGAAGUAAAACAGGCUUUAGGUUUGUUGUUGUUUUGUGUGAGGACUCAUGACCCAUGCUUGCCAGGCAGGUGCUACAUUGCUAAGCUAUAUCCCUAGGGCUUAAGAGAGAAGCUGUGGGAGACACAACCACCAGAAAUGCCAUAGGGAUGGAGUCACUCAAUGGCUUCGGAGCUCACAAUUUGCCACUGAUUGCUUCACAUACUGGAUGUGAAACUAUAGGACUUAAUGUUUGCCCUGCUGGAUUUUGGAUUUGUUCCUAUUCCUUUGUAUACCCUCUUCUUGUUCUUGUUGCUCUAGUUGUCUUCCACAGCCUUGAAAUAUUGCCCCAGUGCCAAGCCACCCGGCCUGGGAGCCAGCUGAUUAUGGACUGAAACUUCUACAAACCAUGAGCUAAAGAAAUUUUCCUUCCUUGAUUUUGAGCAUCAGGUAUUUUGUCUCAGUGACAGGAGAAAAAAUAACAAGGACACCAUGUUUUCAAGUUAAAUUUAUCAGCAUUUUAAUAACAUUGUAUGAGGAGAAGCAUGACCAAUAUAAAGACAUAGCAUAAAAACUUGAAGCAUAAAAAUUUUGAUUAUCUAAGUGGGCCACAAUCCAGUAUUUACAAAAACAAACCAAAUAAAUAAAGCAAAUUUGUAGGGGGCGGCGUGACUUCCCCACUGCUGUCUCCCCGCCUCUCCCUUGUAUGGGCACGUAGUGCAUCUACACCAAUCAUGAUCCUCUCCUGCUCACAUUACGUACACAGACAUGACGAUGACCCAUCAGAAAUCACCCCGUAGCCUCUUCCUGUCCCACCAGCCUGCCCUUGCCCUAUAAAAGCUGUGACCACUUCCUCAAUAAAUGAGACUUGAUUGGAAUUCCUCAACUUGUCUCCAUCUCUCUUUGUCUCUUGCCCUGCCUUUGUCAAUCCCUGUUCCUCCUCCAGGUGGUUGCCAUGUGGAUUGACCCAUGGGCUGGGUCAAGUGGUGCCCAAUGUGGGGCUCUUGGCACAGAGGAUUCAAUGAGGGAGCCGUUCAGAGAUGCCAGCCAAAACUGAAACUAAAGAUCCGAGACCUACGCCACGCAGGAGCCUGCCAUGCCGCUUGAGCCACGGGGGGAAUUUGUCUUGCCUUACAGGAAAAAUGUUGCUUCUGUGUUAACCAGUCUGGCAUCAUAUGUGGAAAACUUCAAGAAAUUGAAGAGCAGCUCAAAUUGAGAAAACACCAGAUGGCCUCUAACCCUUUCUCCUCACUCUGGGGAGGGCUCUUCCCCUACUUAGUGCCCCUCCUGGGGCCCCUAGCUGCCCUGUUGCUUCUCCUCUCUGUGGGUCCUUGUAUUUUUCAGAGGAUUAUGACACUCGUUAAUAACUGGAUAGAUGCAUUUAUGGCAAAGCCCAUUCAGGUACACUGUCACCAGCUGGAGAUGGCAGAUCAACAAACCUAUUGGGAAAGAAUUCCCACGAGAGGCCCAUAUGACAAUGUGGCCUAACCACCCUGGGGCAGUGGACAGGCAGCCAGAGACAGGCAACUAGAACAUACAUGCCAUACCACCAGCCGCCUAAGACAGGCACAGGACCAACUGCUGUCCUGCAAGCCCAUGACAAGUAAGGCUUGGUUGAGUUCAUGUAAAGAGGUGCUUGACCCAAGACAGGCACUGUCCUCACAGGGCCUGCCAUAAAAUAUAUUUAAUCAGGCCUGCCUGAUUAAAAAUACAAAAAGGGAGGAGAUGUAGGGGGUGGUGCGACCACCCCACUGUUGUGUCCCCGCCUCUCCCUUAUAUGUGCACAUAGUGCGUCUACACCAAUCAUGAUCUUCUCCUGCUCACGUCACAUACAUGGACAUGAUGAUGACCCAUCAGAGAUCACCCCGUAGCCUCUUCCUGUCCCACUGGCCUGCCCUUGCCCUCUAAAAGCUGUGACCACUUCCUCAAUAAAUGAGACUUGAUUGGAAUUCCUCAA
Long non-coding RNA from Cavia porcellus (domestic guinea pig), 2736 nucleotides. RefSeq lists it as uncharacterized. The transcript has 2 exons. Lineage: Eukaryota; Metazoa; Chordata; Mammalia; Rodentia; Caviidae. The record is from RefSeq and is a predicted model, not a curated record.